RNAcentral lists this ribosomal RNA (530 nucleotides) under uncultured bacterium. RNAcentral describes it as "bacterial SSU rRNA". It matches the Rfam family "Bacterial small subunit ribosomal RNA", at positions 777 to 1304 of the family's 1533-position model. The record is from RNAcentral.
AAUAGAUACCCAGGUAGUCCACGCCGUAAACGAUGAGUGCUAAGUGUUAGGAGGGUUUCCGCCCUUUAGUGCUGCAGCUAACGCAUUAAGCACUCCGCCUGGGGAGUACGGUCGCAAGACUGAAACUCAAAGGAAUUGACGGGGGCCCGCACAAGCGGUGGAGCAUGUGGUUUAAUUCGAAGCAACGCGAAGAACCUUACCAGGUCUUGACAUCCCACUGACCGGUAUAGAGAUAUACCUUUCCCUUCGGGGACAGUGGUGACAGGUGGUGCAUGGUUGUCGUCAGCUCGUGUCGUGAGAUGUUGGGUUAAGUCCCGCAACGAGCGCAACCCUUGAUCUUAGUUGCCAGCAUUUAGUUGGGCACUCUAAGGUGACUGCCGGUGACAAACCGGAGGAAGGUGGGGAUGACGUCAAAUCAUCAUGCCCCUUAUGACCUGGGCUACACACGUGCUACAAUGGAUGGUACAAAGGGCUGCAAGACUGCGAAGUCAAGCCAAUCCCAUAAAACCAUUCUCAGUUCGGAUUGCAGG